GAGUCUGAUAUACUUGAUUAGGAUUCUACUUACAAUCAAAUGCCAGCUCUGCCUCCUUGAGACGGCUCUCAGUCAGCUUGAUUGGGCUUAUGACCGCGUUGUGCCAAACUCAUACGAACCAUUUCUGAAAUCCAUGUGAAAAGAAACAGUAGCGAAAUUGCUUAUCCAGAAUGUAAGAAGAUUGCAGCAUCAGCUGAAAAGUCCGUCUGUGACAGGCUUUUCACAUCACCGAGAGGCAGAGCCCCAUGCUGGGAGAGGCGGAGGCCCCCGCUGGGAAAUGCUGUCUGCACAUUUGCUGGGUUUCUUGUAUUGCUGGGCUCUUUGUGUUUUGUGGUACAAGCCUGAAGCAGCAGAAUAUGUGAAAUGAGGACAGGUCCAGGCCAUGAGGACACUCAAGCAGCUCUGUGGAGAGAUCCUCGUGGAGAGGAAGAGAGGCCUCGCCGCUAAAACUAGCACCAACUUGCCAGCAUGUGAGUGAACUACCGAGGAAGAUCUUUCCUCCCCAAUCAAACCUUCAGAUGACUGGAGCCCCGGCCAACAUCUGACUGCAGCCUCAUGAGAGACUCCAAGCUAAAACUGUCUAGCCAAGCCAUGACCUAAUGUUCUCUCUGCCAAAACUACAAUAUGUAAUAAAUGAUUGUUUUUUUUAAUAGGCCA
RNAcentral lists this long non-coding RNA (657 nucleotides) under Equus asinus (donkey). RNAcentral describes it as "lncRNA (ENSEASG00005028097.1)". Lineage: Eukaryota; Metazoa; Chordata; Mammalia; Perissodactyla; Equidae. The record is from RNAcentral.